Molecule: long non-coding RNA, 352 nt
Filed under: Manihot esculenta (cassava)
Lineage: Eukaryota; Viridiplantae; Streptophyta; Magnoliopsida; Malpighiales; Euphorbiaceae
Description: long non-coding RNA (MESC_LNC006671)
Source: RNAcentral
UGGUCUAAUUUCAUAUUGCCUGCCUAUGGCAUUUAUAGGAAUAGCAUCACUUUGGUCAGUUUCUGAUACUUCUAAGGGAUUGUAUAUGGUUUCAUCAUCAGAAGAAGAGGAAGUUUCAUUAUAUUCGGUUAGAAUGGUUAUUUUAUUUUUAUCUUUGCUAGUACUUUCACUUGGUAUCUUACUUUGUGUAGGUUCUUUUAUUUUUAUUCCUCCAAUUGUGUUAGUUUUUGGAGACGUAUUUUGUUCACUUAUAAUUUUCUGUAAGAAUUUUGACAUGUCAUGUAAUUCUGUCUUUGGACUUAGUGUUACUAUCUCAAUGGGGUUUUGUGAUGGAGGUAUCAUUUUUGUGAAA